This 130-nucleotide non-coding RNA is filed under the name Candidatus Mycoplasma turicense. Lineage: Bacteria; Bacillati; Mycoplasmatota; Mollicutes; Mycoplasmatales; Mycoplasmataceae. The record is from RNAcentral.
UGCAAGCACAUAAAAAAUAAAGCUUGACGCCCAAAAGGUGAUGGCGAUUCUGAAACUAAGACGAGAGUUACUAUUUCAGAAUCAUAAAGUGCCACAGAGACGAGCUAUGUGGAAACACAUAGGUGAAACG